GGGGCUGUAGGCUAGCUUGGUCCAGACUGCCAGGCUCGGGCCCUGGUGACCCCGGUCCGAAUCCGGGCAGCCCCACCA
RNAcentral lists this transfer RNA (78 nucleotides) under Candidatus Methanomethylicus mesodigestus. RNAcentral describes it as "tRNA-Pro". It matches the Rfam family "tRNA". Rfam says of the family: Transfer RNA (tRNA) molecules are approximately 80 nucleotides in length. The record is from RNAcentral. Lineage: Archaea; Thermoproteati; Thermoproteota; Methanosuratincolia; Candidatus Methanomethylicales; Candidatus Methanomethylicaceae.